Molecule: long non-coding RNA, 2111 nt
Organism: Oryctolagus cuniculus (rabbit)
Lineage: Eukaryota; Metazoa; Chordata; Mammalia; Lagomorpha; Leporidae
Source: Ensembl
AUGCCAGGAGCCCAUGGUUACCAUGGCUCCUGCACCUCCUCAGUAUCUUUUCGUCCCAUCACCAGACUCAGAGUGAGAUCAGGCAAGAGGCAGUAUGGGGGCAGAGAGACAGGAGAGGAGCAGCAAAGAGGAUUGCUAACUAUUGUCCACAGAAAUUAUCCCCGCUGGGGAAAUUAUCCCCGCUCCUCUGCCAAGGUGGUCUCCCGUUCAGGACUUAACAUCAGUGACUUCAGGAGACUUGAGGAAGAGGUCACGCAGUCUGAUGAUGGCCAGUGCGUCCUCCACCUGAAAGCCGAGAAGAAAGGGGUCACAAAAUCAGCAGCUUAGGGCAGAGCACGGACGUCCUUGGUUUCUUACAUUCCGUGAUGUCAAGUUGAAGCGUAUCUGAAGUCCCAAAUGUUCCAUGCUAGGCGUAAAUCUCUUCAUCCAGAUGGUGUGUAUCUGUUAGCUGGGCCCGGAAUUUCCCCCGUCUCUUCUUUCCCACUCAGGAGUCGGUCCCCGGACAGGGGCAGGGAGACGGGUCUCUGCCCCUCGAUGUCCAUGCGGCCUGCGUCACCCGCCUCCCCCUCUGUCGUUUUUUUCACCCACAGGCCACCCUUGCGAGUGACUUGAAUGAAUCCGUCCUCGGGCCCAGCACCCUGCGUCUCCAUCCCAGCUUCCAUUCCCCCAGGAACUUCCAACCCGGGUCAGCGCUCCCAGCUCGAACAGGUGCACAACCACAUUGCACAGGCCAACCACAUAACUUUUUUUAAAAAAAUGGCCAGCACCGCGGCUCACUUGGCUAAUCCUCCACCUGCGGUGCCGCACCCUGGGUUCUAAUCCUGGUUGGGGCGCCGAAUUCUGUCCCGGUUGCCCCUCUUCCAGUCCAGCUCUCUGCUGUGGCCCAGGAAGGCAGUGGAGGAUGGCCCACGUGCUUGGGCCCUGCACCUGUAUGGGAAAGCAGGAGAAGCACCUGGCUCCUGGCUUUGGAUCGGUGCAGCGGCCAUUUAGGGGGUGAACCAAUGGAAGGAAGACCUUUCUUUCUGUCUCUCUCUCUCUCACUGUCUAACUCUGCCUGUCAAAAAAAAAAAAGUUUAUUUGAAAGGCACAAUAACAGAGAGACAGGGAGAGGCAGAAAAAGGAGAAAGAGAAAGACCUUCAUCUGCUGGUUCCAUCCCCAAAGUGGCCAUAAGGGCUGGAGCUGGGCAGGUUGAAGCCAGGAGCCUGGAACUCCAGCUGGGUCUCCCACUUGGGCCAUCUUCCACGGCUGUCAUCAGCAGGGAGCUAGAUCGGGAGUGGAGCAGCCGGGACUCAAACUGGUGCUCAUGUAGGAUGCUGGCGUCUUGGGCAAUGGGUCAACCCACUGUGCCACAAUGCCUGCUCGUCAUCACGUAACCUGAGAUCGUAUCCUUUCAAAUAUGUGAAGCCCUGGCCUCACCACACCAGUAAACUUUGUGAAGCAGACGAUCUCAUUUCUGGGUGAAAUCAUCAUCCAUGUAUGUGUUGUCUGUAACGUGAGUUUCUUUUUAUAAUUGACAAAAGUAUGUAUAUUAUCUCAUGCGACGCGACCUCCAGACCCUGGCCCAGGGCUCCUACCGGCUGCAGCGUGUUUCACGUGCUGUUCUUUGGAGCUCAGGGGUCCCAAGGCUUCCUCCGCAGAGGGUCAGGGAAACGGCACUUUUUUAACCAGAGCAGUUCUGCUUUUAUUUACUUUGUCACAACAGUGAGUAAUAAUUGCCAGUAAUUGGGGGCAUUUGCUGCAUGCCAGGAACUGCCACAACCAUCCCAUGGGGCAAGAGUUGCAAUCCCAUUUUAUGGAUCAAGGAGUGAGGACUGAGGCCACACGCCUAGGGCCGGGUGUCUCUGAUGUCGGUGUCUGAGCCACAGGCAGAGACCUCUCUGCCUGUUUGCACUGCACAGUGGGCUUCUGUGGCUCUUUGGGAAAAGGAGUUUUAUUGCCAAAGAACAGUCCCAGGGGCCAGCUGGGCCUGGAUCCUUGGGUCAGAGGACUUUUGACAGGACGGGAGCUGCAGACCAGAACUGCUCUGUGUAUUCAACAACAACAACCUCAUUGCAGAAGGGAUAGAAAAUGCAGAUGAGCAGAAUAAAAAAAAAAAAGAUAGGGGCUGGCA